UCUUUGUGCUUUCAGCUUCUUUACAGUGCUGCCUUGUAGCAUUUGGGUCAAGCAGCAUUGUACAGGGCUAUGAAAGAACCAAGAA
RNAcentral lists this microRNA precursor (85 nucleotides) under Dipodomys ordii (Ord's kangaroo rat). RNAcentral describes it as "microRNA 103-2 (ENSDORG00000020086.2)". It matches the Rfam family "mir-103/107 microRNA precursor family". Rfam says of the family: This family consists of the mammalian microRNA (miRNA) precursors mir-103 and mir107. Animal miRNAs are transcribed as ~70nt precursors and subsequently processed by the Dicer enzyme to give a ~22nt product. The record is from RNAcentral. Lineage: Eukaryota; Metazoa; Chordata; Mammalia; Rodentia; Heteromyidae.